RNAcentral lists this long non-coding RNA (839 nucleotides) under Setaria italica (foxtail millet). Its description in RNAcentral is "long non-coding RNA (SITA_LNC004961)". Lineage: Eukaryota; Viridiplantae; Streptophyta; Magnoliopsida; Poales; Poaceae. The record is from RNAcentral.
GGUACAGGUGUUGGCUGCGUUUGCAAUUCUUCAUGGUCACAGUGCCGCCAUGUGCCAAGGUUCUCAAAGAUGUUUAAAGGAUGCGCAAUAGAAAAGGUGAGCCCACUUAUUCGAUGAUUGGUCAUCUUUUCAGUGGCAGAAGAACGUCGAGGCAUGAAUGCAUUUUCACGAAGAAAAAUAAUUAUGCAUUGUUUUCUUUGAAUGUACCCUGAUUUUUCUACUUGCGUGGAUGCAAAAAUGAAUAUGUUUGUUAAGUUGCAGUUCCAAGCUAUGUGUGAGAAUUUGACUGAUCAUUUCGAGGGAUGGAAGGGUUUCUAUCAGGGCAUGAGACUAAUAGAGAAGAGCUUGUCUGUGAUCUAAGUCAAAUUUCAUUUAUACUUCUGUAUUUUUAUAUUAUCAUGUGUCCAUAUAUAUGCUGUAUCUUCAGAAAACAUUACUGCGAUGCUUUGUUCUUGGAUGGUAGAAAUCAUCCAGCUCCAGAUGGGCAGAGUGUACAAAACGAAGCAAACUGAUGUCAUAUUGGUGGCUUACGUCAAGUAAAAUCAUUUGGAAGCUCUGAACUUGCCACUCAAUUGGAAGUAGUCUUUGGUGUAGGAAACACGUGGUUAGUGAUUUUUUUGAAAUAAUCAUAGUUAGUGAUAUCCAAUCAAAAUUUUUGUAUCUUAGGUGUUUGAGCACUGCACAUUCAAUUGGAAGUUGGGGCAUCUGUUUUACUGUGAAUGAACUUCAUGUCGACCAGGCUAGUGGCAGAUUCUGUUUUACUGUUAUACAAUGAUUACGAUGAAAAACUAAUGCUUACGGAGAUAAUUGUUUCAUCCUGUACAUGUUUUUAAUAUUUA